UGGGGAAUUUUGGACAAUGGGCGAAAGCCUGAUCCAGCAAUGCCGCGUGUGUGAAGAAGGCCUUCGGGUUGUAAAGCACUUUUGUCCGGAAAGAAAUCCUUGGCUCUAAUACAGUCGGGGGAUGACGGUACCGGAAGAAUAAGCACCGGCUAACUACGUGCCAGCAGCCGCGGUAAUACGUAGGGUGCAAGCGUUAAUCGGAAUUACUGGGCGUAAAGCGUGCGCAGGCGGUUUGCUAAGACCGAUGUGAAAUCCCCGGGCUCAACCUGGGAACUGCAUUGGUGACUGGCAGGCUAGAGUAUGGCAGAGGGGGGUAGAAUUCCACGUGUAGCAGUGAAAUGCGUAGAGAUGUGGAGGAAUACCGAUGGCGAAGGCAGCCCCCUGGGCCAAGUACUGACGCUCAUGCACGAAAGCGUGGGGAGCAAACAGGAUUAGAUACCCUGGUAGUCCACGCCCUAAAACGAUGUCAACUAGUUGUUGGGGGAUUCAUUUCCUUAGUAACGUAGCUAACGCGUGAAGUUGACCGCCU
This 529-nucleotide ribosomal RNA is filed under the name uncultured bacterium. RNAcentral's name for it is "partial 16S ribosomal RNA". It matches the Rfam family "Bacterial small subunit ribosomal RNA", at positions 355 to 874 of the family's 1533-position model. The record is from RNAcentral.